RNAcentral lists this long non-coding RNA (2218 nucleotides) under Vitis vinifera (wine grape). RNAcentral describes it as "long non-coding RNA (VVIN_LNC000235)". The record is from RNAcentral. Lineage: Eukaryota; Viridiplantae; Streptophyta; Magnoliopsida; Vitales; Vitaceae.
GAGUUCCUUGAAACAGGUGUGUUGGACUUGUAUCUGCCUGCUUGGUAUGAGAGGGUGAACUUGUUGAUGUGGACUCACUGUCUUUAUUCAUUAACAUAAUUCUAAUAGGCUGCUCUUGAUGACUGAUAUUUGAUUACUUGUAGUCUUGUUUUUAUAUGGUGGGAGGAUUUCUCAUCCUUCUCUUGUACUUCCUUUUUAUCAAUAUAUUCCUUUGUCAUUUCCUAUAAAAAUAAAAUAAAAAAAUGACUGAUAUUUUACUUUGAUAUCUGCAUGAUUGUCAAUCUUGUACAUAGAAAUAGAAGUUGCUCAUUUGUUUAAUCUAAUGAAGGGAAACUUCAGUUGGAUUUUGUUUUUCCUACAAGAGUUGUUUAGUGGGGAGAUUUUCUGAUAGAUUGCUGACUUAUUUAAUUUAAUGAAAUUUACUGUCUAAAGGGGCAGUUUUUGUCCCUAAGAAGCAAACAUCUGUUGGAUUUUUAUGUUCCUGGAAGGGUUGUCUAGUGGGGUAAAUUUUCUGAUAGGUAUGAUCUAUUUGUAUCCUGUCUGAGACGUCUUUUAUUAUCUGACCUAAUUGUUUUAUCAAUUCAAUUGUUGAAGGUGGAUGUUGUUUAAUACAUGUGUUGUGUACCUCUUGAGGAAUUGAUUGAUGAUUUAGUUUAUAAAUUGUCAUUGUGUGUGCAAUUUUCUUGGCAUUCUAUGUGCCUCUUGAUUUUCCCUUUCUUAGGUUCUUCCUGUCUUCUUGGUGAUCACCUAUUAAGCUGAAGCCCUAGGAAAUGCCAUGGGGAAUUUGAGUUUCUGCUUUGUUAGGGAGCUGUGGAAGGAAAGGGGCAUUAAGUUCUUGGAUUGGCAACUUUUGUAGCUGGUAUUCAGUUGGGUUUCUUCUUCUCUCUUGUUCAGCAGAGUUUGAAAGGUUGUUUGUACAAUAGGUUUGAUUUAAAGUUGUCUAUUUAUAAAUACGGUGAUACAAAUCUGAGCUGUCUGCUGCCUAACAGUCAAUUUUAAAGUUUGAGGAGGUGUCUUGCUUCCCUUGUAGAUGAAAAAAAUUUUAUCAGAAAAAAAGGGGAAAAAAAUCAGAGAUAAACCUGUUUUACUUUCCUCCUCCAGGCUUGUCAUGAGGAAAAUCAAUAUUUAAGCUGCAUCUCAUACCACUCUUUAGUAUGAGGAACGCAUAGGUGUAUUAAUUUAAAGCCCUUCACCUGCCAGCAUAGAUUCCCACACGUUCAUGGGAUCUUCUUAACAUUGUUGAUUGUUAUGAAAGGACCUGACUUAUCAGAUGGUUCCUGUCAUCUUAUAUAAGCUGAUUUUAUGUAGAAUUCAGUGGCAGUCCUUUCAAAUAAUGGGUUUACUCUUCAAUGUUUUGUGCAUUUUCUUGAAUGGAUUCCAUUUUAAACUUUCAGAGUGAGUCAUGCUUGCGGUUGUAAGAUGUUUGUGGAGGUUUCUCUAGAAUUAUUUGCUUUGGCACAAAAUUCUCGGUGCUUGGAUUGUUUUAUUGUAAAUAUCUGCCAUAAUGUGAGUUGAAUUUCUUGUUUCAAUUUUUUUUUUCUCCAUAUAAGAGCCCAUGUUGUGGAGUGGCAUCAAAAAGUAUUUUUUUAGUUUGUUUGGUCUCAUUGGUUGAAUGAACUUUUGAAUUUGCUCUUCUCAAAUGUUGUAUUCAGAGUUUUAGAUGGAACUUAAAUCUUUGCCACCAUCUUUACUUGCUGCCUAAUGUAACGGUCUAGUCUUUUUGAAUCCUCAGGUUUGUUUUCACUCAAUUUUUUCUUUGGAGCCCUCUUUGUACUUACACUUUUAACUUCUUUCAUUCCAGCCAAUUUCAUUUGGAAAUCUAAAACCUUGUGGUCGAGAAGGUUGAUGCUAAUGACAUGCCCGUAUUUGGGGAGGUCUUAUAAACCCAGCCUGAAUUGCUGUAUUUUGUGCAUGGUGAACAGUUGAUCAUCUAUUUCUUCAUCUCAUGUUACCAAUGAGACCCAACAUAAGUUGUUUAGACUUUUUAGUGUUGCAAAGUUCCCCAAAAGUGUUGUGUAUAUGAUGAUCAUCUUUUAGGGAUUUGGAGAACAUUGUAAAAGUGCAAGAUUUAUGAUGUAUGACUACUACCUUCAUUUGGAUCAUUUGAUGGGAAAUUAAUGCUAGUUCCGAGGGUUGACUGAUGAUAGUGGAGCCAACUUGGGGUUUGGUUCUUCCUUGUCCUCUUUUUUAUCUUUUUCUGCUAACACCUUUGCAGGCG